Molecule: ribosomal RNA, 246 nt
Filed under: uncultured bacterium
Lineage: Bacteria
Description: partial 16S ribosomal RNA
Rfam family: Bacterial small subunit ribosomal RNA
Source: RNAcentral
GCGUAGGCGGUUUGUUAAGUCAUGAUGUGAAAUCCCCCGGCUCAACCGGGGAACUGCAUUUGAUACUGGUAAGCUUGAGUACAUGUUAGAGGACAGUGGAAYUCCUGGUGUAGCGGUGAAAUGCGUAGAUAUCYGGAGGAACACCUGUGGCGAAGGCGGCUYUCUGGACCAWUACUGACGCUGAGGCACGAAAGCKUGGGGAGCAAACAGGAUUAGAUACCCUGGUAGUCCACGCCGUAAACGAUG